GGAGCGCGACGCUCUCCCAAAGGACGAAGCCAUGCAUGCCCGCUCACCCGGGACGCGGCGGACGGCUCAGGACGACGGUUGCACCCCCCGCGGCGGUCCCUGCUAGCCGGACACCGCUGGCAACCCGGCGCCAAGACGUGCGCGCAAGGGCGGGCGCCCGCGGG
This 164-nucleotide ribosomal RNA is filed under the name Giardia duodenalis. RNAcentral describes it as "Giardia intestinalis partial small subunit ribosomal RNA". The record is from RNAcentral. Lineage: Eukaryota; Fornicata; Diplomonadida; Hexamitidae.